This 429-nucleotide long non-coding RNA is filed under the name Mytilus galloprovincialis (Mediterranean mussel). The record is from RNAcentral. Lineage: Eukaryota; Metazoa; Mollusca; Bivalvia; Mytilida; Mytilidae.
CACCAUUUUGUCAUGAAUCCAUCUGUGUCCUUUGUUUAAUAUGCACAUAGACCAAGGUGAGAGACACAGGCUCUUUAGAGCCUCUCGUUUUGAUAAAUAAUAGUCAUAUUUCUUUCUUUUUUUUUCUUCAGUUACUGAGAGUAAACAGACUGCCAGUAAAGUUAUAAACAGUUACGGAUGAUAUCUCCUUUGAUUGAUGAUGAUGCAGUGUUACCAAGCAAAGCUUAUCACUGGAUUCAGCAGUGAAUUUCAGAUGUAGUAUUCAAUCUAAAAAUGCCCAAGUGGAUCUUCUUUAUACAAAGACCCAUUAAAAAAGUGUUACUAGACAUUGGAUAUAAAUUGUGCACAGAACAAUUAUGAAGAGUGCUGUUGUUUGUUAAUUUAUAGAACUUUUAAUGAUUAAAUAAUAUUAAUAAAUAUAUAAAAUGA